Grammomys surdaster is the source of this 1247-nucleotide RNA transcript. It is a transcript of the gene named aldose reductase-related protein 2 pseudogene, with no coding region annotated. Lineage: Eukaryota; Metazoa; Chordata; Mammalia; Rodentia; Muridae. The record is from RefSeq and is a predicted model, not a curated record. The transcript has a single exon.
CACAGAAAGAUUUCGGCAGCAACCAUGGCCACCUUCGUGGAGCUCAGUACCAAAACCAAGAUGCCCAUUGUGGGUCUGGGUACCUGGAAGUCUCCCCCAAACCAAGUCAAGGAAGCUGUGAAGGCAGCCAUUGAUGCUGGGUAUCACCACAUUGACUGUGCCUAUGCGUAUCAGAAUGAGAAUGAGGUGGGAGAGGCCAUCCAAGAGAAGAUCAAAGAGAAGGCUGUGAGGCGGGAGGAUCUCUUCAUUGUCAGCAAGUUGUGGCCUACCUGCUUUGAGAAAAAACAGCUAAAGGAAGCCUUUCAGAAGACACUCACAGACCUGAAGCUGGACUAUUUGGACCUCUAUCUUGUUCACUGGCCGCAGGGAUUUCAGCCGGGAAAGGAGUUAUUCCCUAAAGAUGAUCAAGGCAAUAUCUUCACCAGUAAAACAACGUUUUUGGAAGCCUGGGAGGGCAUGGAGGAACUGGUGGACCAGGGGCUGGUGAAAGCUCUGGGUGUCUCCAACUUCAAUCACUUCCAGAUUGAAAGACUCCUGAACAAGCCUGGACUGAAACAUAAGCCAGUGACCAACCAGGUCGAAUGUCACCCUUACCUGACCCAGGAGAAACUGAUCCAGUACUGUCACUCCAAGGGCAUCACUGUCACGGCCUACAGUCCCCUGGGCUCCCCAGACAGACCUCACGCUAAGCCAUCGGACCCUUCACUACUUGAGGACCCCAAAAUUAAAGAGAUUGCCGCCAAGCAUAAGAAAACCUCAGCCCAGGUUCUGAUUCGGUUCCACAUCCAGAGGAAUGUGGUGGUGAUCCCGAAGUCUGUGACGCCAGCGCGUAUACAGGAGAACAUUCAGGUCUUUGACUUCCAGUUGAGUGACAAGGAGAUGGCCACUAUCCUUAGCUUCAACAGAAACUGGAGGGCCUGCCUGCUGCCUGAGACAGUAAACAUGGAAGAAUAUCCCUAUGACGCAGAAUACUGAGGCUGAAUCAGUCCCUGAGGCUUCCUCUUUGCCGAUGCACACCUCACUCCCAGAGUCCUGUUUAAGCCCAGCCUGCCUGACAUCGUGCGGUAGGCAAGGCUGUGUUUAAAUCGUCACGCUGACCAGAGACAGACUGUUGCAUGCAAAUGUGCCUUAGAGAAGCGAAUGGGCCUCUCCUUCACUAAUUUGAUCUGAUCAAAUGUUUGUCAAAAACUGGGAACUCUGGUAACAUUUGAGGGUAUAAAGAUAAAAUAAUAAAGAAUCGUAAUGUU